RNAcentral lists this ribosomal RNA (446 nucleotides) under uncultured bacterium. RNAcentral's name for it is "partial 16S ribosomal RNA". It matches the Rfam family "Bacterial small subunit ribosomal RNA", at positions 338 to 795 of the family's 1533-position model. The record is from RNAcentral.
CCUACGGGUGGCAGCAGUCGAGAAUCAUUCACAAUGGGGGAAACCCUGGUGGUGCGACGCCGCGUGGGGGAAUGAAGGUCUUCGGAUUGUAAACCCCUGUCAUGUGGGAGCAAAUUAAAAAGAUAGUACCACAAGAGGAAGAGACGGCUAACUCUGUGCCAGCAGCCGCGGUAAUACAGAGGUCUCAAGCGUUGUUCGGAAUCACUGGUCGUAAAGCGUGCGUAGGCUGUUUCGUAAGUCGUGUGUGAAAGGCGCGGGCUCAACCCGCGGACGGCACAUGAUACUGCGAGACGAGAGUAAAGGAGGGGGAACCGGAAUUCUCGGUGUAGCAGUGAAAUGCGUAGAUAUCGAGAGGAACACUCGUGGCGAAGGCGGGUUCCUGGACAUUAACUGACGCUGAGGCACGAAGGCCAGGGGAGCGAAAGGGAUUAGAUACCCGAGUAGUC